This is a non-coding RNA of Mycena crocata, 101 nucleotides long. NCBI's taxonomy places the organism in Eukaryota, Fungi, Basidiomycota, Agaricomycetes, Agaricales, Mycenaceae. The record is from the annotation of a GenBank genome assembly.
GCCCUGGUAGCACAAUCCUGGCAGUGCACCCGCAUUCUAUCCGAAAAAACCCACGAAGAUUUACUUCGCGGGGGAUGUUCGUUCGAGUCGAACCUGGGGCU